This is a long non-coding RNA of Equus caballus (horse), 21500 nucleotides long. NCBI's taxonomy places the organism in Eukaryota, Metazoa, Chordata, Mammalia, Perissodactyla, Equidae. The record is from Ensembl.
CUUCAAGGCCCGAGCGCGACGAGGAGAGGGUGCCACCGCAGAAGUGCUCACUUGAAAAAUUCUAAACGCGUCAAAAUAACUUUGAUAAACUCGCAAAGACGCCUGGCUCAGGGGAAAGGAAUGGGCCCCGCGCCCCGAGAGCCCACUUCCCGCGCCGCCGCCGGGAGAGCCACCGCGGGGCGGGCGGGGCGCGGGGUCCCCUCUGGCGCCGCUGACUCACCGCGGCCCGCGCCUUAAAAGGGCAGUCGCUUCCGGGGCCGACCCGGCGUUGGGGGGGGGGGGGCUCGUUGUCACCUCCUGUGCCCUCGCUCGGAGUGGCACCCCUUCCACUUCAAGGCUGACCGCUAUGCCUGAUCCUACGUCUUUCAACCCGCCUCUCCCUGGAGGAGGCCGUGGACUCCCACGGCGCCCGCGGUCACCCAUCCUCGAUGAGCCUGGACUCUUCAGCCUGGGCCCCCUCUAAACUUCUACGUGAAUGUCCACGGCUUUCCGGGAGCCGCUCCCUCAGUCCAAGUCCCUUGCAGCUCCUCCACUCAUCGCUGUAAACCGGCCGUGUCAAAGAGCUGGAGUCAUCGCCCCUGCACCCUCCCUAGCUGGUGACCAAGCAGACACCCUCCCUCUCCUUUGAACUCUGUCCCCUCCAGACUCUUGCUUCGUCGUUGGUCACGUGCCCAGGCCUCCUCUGCUCUGACUCUCUCAUCCACCUCUUCCGUCCUGUGAACUCCUGGGUCAAGCCUCCGCCGCACUUGCUUCUCAGCCCCUGUUGGCCUGGCUUCCUGCGUGGGGCCCCUCGCCCACCCAGAGCUGCCGUGGACGUGAUCAGGUCCUGUCUUGACUGAAAUCGCUGCCCCCUGGGUUCUUCCGUGGGUUCCAAAGAGCAGAUUCGUGGGUCCCUGAAAAAGCGUUCAGUUGUGGGGAGAGGAGGGAAAUAUUUUCUGGGGAAAGGGUUGGACCUUUCAUCAAAUUUUUGACAGAAUUUGUGACCUCUCCCCCAAAGAAAAGAAGCAACUGGCCUGUGGGUUAAAGUUCAAAUUCUUUGUGGGAUCCAAGACCACUUACUUUUGCCUCAGUCCAGCCUUCCCGACCCAGCUCCCAGGGCUGCUCUCUGCAGCCCGCACAUCCAGCCCAGCGCUUCCCAAGUAUGCGGGUCACAAGAAUGACCCCAGGCACCGGGUGAAGAUUCAGGCUCCGGGCGCUCCCCGUGCAUUCUGAUUCAGAGGGUCUGAGUGGUGGUGUGAGGGUGAGCAUGGAGGGAGCCCCAGGGAUCUGUAUUUAACAAGCAGGGGUUCUAAUGGGGAAAAGCCGGGCUAGAAUCAGCCAAGGGCUUUCUUGCCUCCAGACUUUUGCAUACGAUGGAGUUCCCUCUUCCGGAAUUUGCACCCACUCCACCCCUCCAUUGAUAAAUUCCUAUUUAUCCUUCAAUGUCCAAUUCAAACAUCAGCACCCUGGAUGAAGUCUCCUGUAAUCAUUCUCAUGUUAGAGAGGUCGCGGCAACGCCGCUGUAACACAGACCCCCGAAUGCUGAGGCUUAUCUGAGAGGGAUGUUUCUCUUCCCUUUCCCGUACCAGCUGGGUGGUGUGGGCCUGCGCGGAGGCUGUGCUCCCGCAGCUCAUCCUUGUCUCUGCGUGUUCCAGGUAGUGGCACUCGUCGCUGUGGCUGAAGCCAGGUCCCUGCCAAGCCUGUCAGCAGGGGAGGGAGAAGGGAGAGUGAAGGGGGGUCGUGCCAGUGUGUCAAGACCCCACCAGGACAUUGCACACCUGAUGGGAGCUCACACCGGCGAGAACUUGGUCACACUUAGCCCCACUAGCUGCAAGAGAGGCUGGGAAAUGUCGUUUCUAGCAGGGUGGUCCUGUGUCCACCUCUCACAGCUGCCUGCUCCGGCCGAAGUCAUUGCCAUCUGCUCAGACAGAAUGGAAACGAGGAUGUAUUGGGCACUUGCCAUGUGCCAGACAUUGUGAUGGCCAUUUUCCGACGUCAUCCCCUUUCACCUUCACCAGUGUUUUACCUACACUGAGACAGCUGGGCCCAGCUUGGCUGGGCUGCUGCCUCCCGAGUCAUGCUCUGUGGAAGUCCUCCGUCUCAGGGCGCCUCUCUAGGUUAGUUUUUUGCAUGUCUGCCUCCCCCACUGAGUAUGUGCUUAAUAAAUGCUCUACUAAGUGGUGAAUCAGAGUGGGUUCAUUAAAUUAGCUCAUGAAAAUUACAUAAUGUCACCUCACUGGGUUAUGUUGUAGGCUAUUUUUGUUUUUCCUCCUUUGUCCCCUGAGCAGUAAUUAGCUGUCAGUCCCUGCAAGCGCUCAGGCAGAGUGUGGACGCCCACCUCAGGGAGGUUGUAUUGGAUUAGAUGAACCCCAGGACCCCCACAGUCCCAAGGAGCUGUAUUUCACCUCCACCUCAAUCACAACUUUUGGCAAUAAUUUUCAUUCUUCCACUCGGCAAAUCUGUGCUAAGGGCCACCCAGUCCCAGGUCCUCUCAGUGCUGAGCACUCAGUCGUGUACUAAGGAGGCCCCUGCUCUCAGGAACGAGCAUGGGAUGAAAAGACAGAUAGUAAACCCACCAACAAGAAGACAGAUGGCAACUCAGACAGAGAUAAGAGCCAAGAAGAAAAUAAAAGAGGACAAGAUGAGAACCAUAUGCCUGACGACCAGGGAAGGCCUCUCCAAGGAGAUGACAAUUCAAGGGACACCGAAUGAGAGAAGCGACAGCCAUGGACAGCUUUCCCAGCAGAGAGAACAAGCCCCAGUUGGAGUGUCUGAGGUUCCCAGAGCAGCCAGGGUGGCCGGAGCAGAGCAGGCGAGGAGAGAGAUGGGAGAGCCAGGUGGGGGCCAGGUGGCACAGAGACGCACAGACCAGGGGGCGGGGCCUGUUCUAAUGGGACAAUAAGUCACGUCCAGCUAUGAGCCGGGCAGUGAUGCGAUCCUAUUUAGAUUGUUGGACAGUUGUCCCAGCUGUUGUGUAGAAGGUGGAUUUUGUAGAGCUGGAGUGGAAGUGGGCUCCCGAUGGGAACAUUUUUGAAUGGUCCACCAGAGAGCUGACGGAGGCUGUGACCAGGGUGAUAGCAGUGGAGACGAGAAGCGGCAGGUCUGUGUUCUGUGAACAGCCCACAGGUCUUUCUGAAAAUGCUUCUUUUUAGAUAGCUACCACGUCCUCAUCUCCUGGGGCAUUAACACGUAUCAUUACAUCCCCUGGAAUCAAGGGCUCACAACACAGGACCGUGUGGUGGUCAGUGUGACAGCCCCUCUCCCAGGCUUGAAGGCUGCGUCUUGUCUGACUGCAGAUUAUACUCAUGGGUGGGCUCUUCACCUUGGCCUGAAUCCCUCUUUGGGUAGAGGUGAUCAUGGACAGUAGCCCUGCCUCCAUCAAGCUCAGUCCCAUUGGAGAGACAGACAGUGAACAAAGACAAAAAUACAUGUAAAAUGACACCUGUGAGGAGAGGUACACAAUGUCAGGACACACAAGACGGGCUUUGACCCCUAAGAGCAGUCAAAGGAGCCUUUCAGGAAGCACUGCUGGAGCUGACACUGGGAGGAAGGAGUGGGGUGGAGGCAUGUCAGCAGAGUCUGACAUGUGCAAAGGCUCUGGGGCAGGAGGGUCAGUGUUCCUUCCAGGAACCAUUAUUGAGCAGAUAGCAAGGAAGGUUGGAUGGGGACCAGUGUGGGUGUGUGUGUGUCUGUAGCAGAAGAUGGAGGCGUUCCUUUAGGGUCUCUGGUCACCUGUGAGGAUGGGCAAGCAGCUCAGAGGCUUGGAGAGCAGAGAAGGUUGAUAAAGGCAUUUUGAAAACAGCAUUUCCCACACUAUUCCUGGUUUAAGGGAAAGCUCUGUUGCUGAAAAUGCAUAUUUGACCCAGAGAUAGUAAGUUUCAUUUGAAGCCAAUGGAUUGUGAUCCAAGUUCUGAACUCUCUCCACUAGCCUAAAAGCGAUCGUCAUAUAAAAUCAGUCUAGCACUGGGGCCGGCCCCGUGGCCGAGUGGUUAAGUUUGUGCGCUCCACUUCAGCGGCCCAGGUUUUCGCCGGGUCAGAUCCUGGGCGCAGGCCUAGCACUGCUCCUCAAGCCAUGCCGAGGUGGCGUCCCACACAGCACAGCCUACAGCUAGAAUAUACAAGUAUGUACUGGGGGGCCUUGGGAAGGAGGAGGAAAAAAAAAUCAGUCUAGCAUUUAUAAGCCAAGAUGGCACUGACAUUCUUGGGUAGGAUUCCUGAAUUAUCCUACAGAGGGAGAAGAAGAACAGCCCGGUCACUCCAUUUAUCCUGGUGAAAAUUCCAGGGCAGUCCAGAAUUUGCCAAAAGUGCUGAAAGUCGGUUCAAAAGAACUCUUGCAUACCUCCCCGUCCAGGGCCACCGCCUGCUAAACGCUUCCUUAUUAAAAAGAGAAGAUGUCUCUUCAGGCCGAUGAGAAUGAACUACUCGCUAGAAUACAGACGACACCCCCUAAUAUUUUUUUCACUAUUAACUUGGAGCACCUGGAAGGAAGGAAGGCCAACCUCCCACCAUGUCUGCCCUGCUUUUUAAGUGAGUUCACUGGGGAGAAACUGUCGCAUUGCAAAACUUGAGAAAUGCCUGCCAAUCCAAAAAGUUUCUGUAACAGGAACCAAUACGCAUGUAAAAGAAAAAUCAAAAAACUAGAAGGAGGAAGGUGCUUAAACACAUAUGCUUUAAAAUGAAAAUAAUUUUUUUUAAUAAAAAGAUAGCUUGGACCUGAUUUAAAAGAGAAAAAAAUUACAGGCAGUCAGGGAACAAAAAUUAAGAUUUGUUUCCUACAAACCCUAAGACCAUGUAUGCUGGAGGAGAAUGUGUGUGUGUGCGUGUGUGUGGGGGGGGGUUGCAUUAGCGCUCAGUUUCAGAAGUGUCAGAGUGUUCAUACAUAAUGAUACCCCAGGCCGUCCAACCCUCGGAACUUCUCCCAAGGAAAUACUUUGAAUGAAAAAAACCAGUUGUGUGCACAAGAUGCUUAUUGCUUCGUUAUUUGCAAUAUUUUAAAGAAGUUAGACUUUAUUCUGGAGAGAAUGGGAGCAGAGUGUUAUAUGUGAGUCAGAUGGUCCGGGGCGUUUACAGUCAGUGCCGGUGUGGCGGAAGGGUUAAAGGAGAGGAGGACAACAGGUGAGGCGCUGGUGAGUUGUUCUAGAUAAGGGGUGGGGAGGGCCUGACUAAGGCCGUAAACUCCAGCUUAGUGAGGAGAGCCUAGUCAAAGGGAUGUUUAAAGGAUCAUUUAAAUGUGCAUAAGGAGAGAGAAGGAAGAAUCUAGACGGACACUCAGUUUGAGUGGAUGUUGGUGUAGCCAAAGAAGAUGGAGAACACAGGUGAAUGAGUUUGGUGUCUGCCUGUCUGACUGUUUGGGGGCUGAAGUGAAGGGGUGGAGGGAGGAGGCGGUUCUGUUUGGGGUAUGCCGAGUUGGAACUACCCACAGAAUUGCCAGGUAAUGACAUCCAGGAAGACGCGAUGGAAAAUGUGGGUCUGGACUGAGACAGGAAGGUGGCUGGAGAUAAAUAACAAAUAAACGUUUUCCAGAAGAAAUGUGAGGGCGUCAGUGGCUCUCCUCUUUCCUCAUCUUGGUCUUCAUCCUGUUGGUUGGGUCUUUCGGAGGCAGCUGAUACUGUUGACUCCCUUCUGGAAGGUCUCUCCUCCGUGAGUCCUCGAUCUCACACAUUCUUCAUCUUUUCUGACUUCUACAUUCGUUUCUUUCCUUUCUGUUUUGAAGAUUAUUUAAAAGUAAAUAUUUCUCUCCAAGUAAUCCAUUUUUACUUUAGAAAAAAAAACACUAGAAAAUACAGAUAAUUAGAAAGAAAAAUUAAAGUCACAAAGCAUUUUGGUGUAUUUCCUUUCAAGUCUUACUCUCCCUUCCAGUGCUGUCUGCUCACUGGGUCGGGUCUCCCCCAGCACACACUCGGGGCAGCCUCUCCCUGUGAACUUUCAUCACAACUAAAAUUAAAUAAUUAUUUGCAUCAUUACUUCUCUAAAAAGCUGAAUCAUUUAAUGAAUGUAUUCAUAUAAAUGCAUUUUUUACCAAAACGAGACCAAUUGGUAGACAAUGUUUUAUAAUGUAUUUUCCUCGUGUAUUAAUGCAUCGUAACAAUCUCUACUACCCCUGUCAAUCUAUAUGAUCCCUUUGAUGCUACCUAGUAUUGAAUUCAACUGUAUAGCUGAACCAAAAUUUAUCUCAAUCUCUUGUUAUUGGACAUUUAAGGUAUUUCCAAAUGUUCUCUGAUCUGCUUUAGACGGCUUUAGGUGCACGUCUCUGCCUGCUUCUUUGGUUAUCUUCUCAAACUGGCAUCACUGGGUCGAAGAUUUUCAGCUUUUGCUGGAGGUUGGCAAAUUUCUUCCAAAAAGUCCACCAAUUUACACUUCUACCUUUUUGUUUUAUUAAAACUUCUUUUCCCCUAAAACAAAAAUAGCACAUAUUAACAAUAGACAGAACACAGGGGAGUAAAUAAAGGAAGUGUGAGCGCCUACAGUCCGGGCUGCAGCUUUACAAUCCCUUGGGGGUGGAUUCUUCCGCAUCUUUCCCGUAUUUGUCUAUGCAGAUGCCCUUGGGAGUCAGACGUUUACUGUUAACUAGCUGUGUGGCCCGAGGCGCGUUUCGUAAUGUCUCCAAGCUUCUGUUUUCUCACCUGUAAACUGAAGAUGGCAAUAGAGCCAUGUCACAGGUUGUCCUAAGCAUGCAGGGCAAGUAUGCUGCCCUGUGCCUGGCUCAUUACAAACUCUCAAGCCCUGCUCCCAUGAUACUGUGUGAACCUUUUUUCCCCGGCCAGUGAUGUAUACGGACAUCUUUCUUUGUGCCUAGUGGACACUUCUAGCUCCAGUCUUUUAGAUGAACCUCAGGCGUACAGCUCUAAUCACAGACUGUUGAUACCACCAAUGGUAUUUUGCUGACGUCACGUAUUCAUUUGGUCCCAGCCAACCUAGUUACAAGUUCCUCCUCCCGCUGCCCGUUCCCAUCUUAGUCACUGUCAUCUGUCCUGGAAGCACCAGGCAGAAACCACCAGAACACCUUCCUCCCGCUCCCACAGGUAACUGGGUUUACAGCAAUUCUGUUAUUCUAUCUGGAGUGCAGCUGAGUCAGACAGGCCUUGGUUGAAUCCUGGUCCUGCUCCUUACACAGUGUGACCACGAGCACUCACCUCUCCUUUCUGAGCCUCAGUUUCUUCGUCUGUAAGAUGGGGCAACAGACCUGCCACUUAGGGCCGCGGUUCUGAUGGUGAAGUGAGAUAGCUCGAGUAAAUGCUUAGCAUCACGCCGAUCACAAGCUCAGCUCUCAAAAGGGCAGCUGCAAUUAGCAACAUUACCAUUAUUGUUGUCAUCUCAGGCACCUGACCUUUGCUGUGGUUGCAGUGCAUUUUCAGCCCCUUAUAGCACUGACAUACCCCUAACCUGUCCCCAUCUUCAGCCCUUCCCAGGCCAAAUUUCAAUGUGCCACCAAGAUGACUUUUCCAUGGUGUGUCUGGAGCAUGUCACACUGCUCACUGUCGAAACUACCUACAAACCAAUGCCUGAAUUUUCUCAGCAUGGUUUCUAGCCUUGUCACUCCACCUGCAUUCUCUACGUGUCCCCCGCCCCCCACUUCCAACUCUCCCCAUCUCUGCAUCGACCUCCCGUCUAUCUCUUCCUGUACUUUCCCAUCCCUCAGUGUGAUGGUUCUACCACCUGGGCGGACACCAUUUCCCAGAACCCCAGCAGUCUCCCAGGGUGCUCAAACAUUCCUUCUGGGGCUGGUCUUCCCUAAUCCUGGGGGCGUUCACCUCCCCCUGCCCUGAGCCCCAUGCUUGGGGCAGCCUCCACUGCCCUCUGCAUCGUGGAGGGUCCAGUCUCCACCAUGACACUGUGCCCUUCUUGGGGCAGGUCCCUUUUUGUCCACCUCUGCAUCCAUCACUGCCCCCCAGCUCCCCUCCGCAAACCCGCAGUGUUUGUUUGUUAAUGGUGCUGUUAAUAAAUAACACUCCUCUGGGACUUUGAUGUCCAAAAGCUUGCCCACAGGCCAAAGGUUUUACAUAGACCAUUCACCUUUCCCAUGACUUAUUCUCAGAUGACAAGGGCAAAGAAUUCAAAAACUGCAGUGCCCCACCCCAGAACUGACGUAUCCACAACGGCUGGUUCUCGUGUGUUGUGAAACGAGCCUGUCUUUGCCGUCAUGUUACUGAUUUUUCAUUAUUAUGAGAUGAGCAUAGAAAGUACUCAAUGUGUGUCUUUCUUACCCAUGCAAAGGCAAGAGAACAGUUAUCAGUCUUGCCCACUGGCUCUCUGGGUGCACUACAAAGAGGGUGUGGGGCUCAGACCUGUACCCUGCCUUUCUCUCCUAAAGGCAUGUAAGUUUCAAGUAAAUCUGUUUCAUCCUGUUCAGAAGGAUGAUGCAACGUGACUAGAAAGGAAGUGGGGAGUUGCCUUACAACUACAAGCAGAGGAAUGUCACGUCGCUCCAGUGUUCUUCACAUUCCCAGAAAUAUGUCGUGGUUGAAAAGGAGGCAGAUGACUCAGCAUUCCCCUGGCUUUCGACAGAUUGACCGCGGAGCCCAAGCAGUGCUAAUGAGGACAGGCUGGCGGAAGGCGCAAUUAGGACGAGCUGGCCUGUCCCGCGAGUCUGGGGGCUGCAGGGUGCUGGGCAUGCGGAGAUGAACCAUGUAAACACAGCACAGUUUUCUCGAAGCUGGAUUAAGGGGCCCCUGGGUCCACGUUGCGUUCAUGUGAAUUCUUAGCUAUCCAGAGGUAUCAGACCAAACUCUGUGAAUUCGGUCGUGGUUCUGAUUGUUCACUUUGCAGUGGGGCCUGGGGCUGUCCUUAAAGCAGGCUCCUAUCCUAAACUUCCUCUCUUCUGUCCAGAAACCUGGGAGCUUUCUUCUACCUUGGUUAUUCCUUCAUAUUUCCUCCUUCUCUCAUUUUCCAAAUUAAACUUUUUUUCUAGUAGAAAGACCUGGAAAAUUAUUUCAAGGACAAGAAUUUGGCAACUGUCCCUGAAAAUGAAGCACAUGCUUUGCAGGGGUUUUAUGAUGUUCCAGAGAGUGGCCACCUGUUCCUUUCCACCCGCUCCGGGCGCCGGGCCACGGGGCUAAUGAGCCGUGAGACAGGGCCAGUGGCCUGUGUUGCAGAGGCUCUCGGUUCUUCAGAGGCCUCCUGUAACCCACGGUCUCCACGCACCCUGUCCUGCCAGCCUGUCGGUAGUCACUGAUCCAAGGCCCAUAGCCCAGAGCAACGCUGAGCUGUGGACACCUCCCAGGCUUUAUUUCCAAACUCAUAUUUACUCACCUGGAAGAAAGAAAAUUCAGAUUUCCCGAGGUUGCUGGUAACAACCUCAUAUCCACCAAAGGCAAAGGAGCCCCACACCGCCUCUGAAGGAUCCCUGAGACUCUCACCAGGCAAAGCCGAGUUUGUGAGGAGAAGCCUGGAAAGAGGCAGGUGGGCACCGGAGCCCCCACAUCCGGCCGCCAGCAUGCCUCAGCAUCUCCUAGACGCGUGACCACUGAAACCAGCUCCGCUCCGUGACUCUGUUUUUUGUCCAGGUGGCAACUAAACUGAUAAGGAGACAGCUCUCCCUGUACCAUGUGCCUCGGCGGUGGGGGUCCACAGCCCCCUGGAUGUGAACACGAGCCAGUGGAGUACGAGGCUAAGGGCUCUGGAGCUGACAGACCGGGUAGGGCUCCCAGCUCCCCAUUUUCUGGCUGUGAGAGUCAAAGCUCAUUAUUUAACCUCUCUGGGCUUCACUCUCUGCACCUGAAGACCAGCAAUAACAGUGCCCAUCUCAGAGGGGUGUGAUCAGGAUGAACUAACUCCGUAUUUUUGUAAAGUGCUGAGAACAGUGCCUGGCACAUCAUGAUGUUUGAUGAGUGAAUAAACGCCAAGAUUCCCUCCCCAGGGAAUGUUUACUACCAGGUGGUGCUUUUAAAUGUGGGGUUCCCCAUCUUAAGUCUUGCCCCGCGGGGUCUCUGCAGGUGAAAUCUCACGGCUCCACCAAAACCAAGUGUUAAACAUGGGCCGAGCCCAGCAAAGAGCAGAGGUCAGAGUGCAGCCGAGACGCAGAAGGCACAGAAAGGAAGGUCUGUGCCGUUGGAAGAUGCCACCUGAAAUGGUGAAAGCUGUGUUUCCCAAAUGAAAGAUUCAAAUAAUAGGAGAAGGGGCUGUUUGCAGCCUCUCUUCCACACCUCUCAGAAGAAUGCUCCUUCAAAGGGUGACAUCAGCUCUAAGAAACCAUAUUCUGGGGCUGGCCCGGUGGCAUAGUGGUUAAGUUCACACACCACUGCUUUGGUGGCCCAGUGCUUGCUGGUUUGGAUCCCAGGCACAGACCUACACACGGUUCAUCAAGCCCCACUGUGGCAGCAUGCCACAUGCAAAAUAGAGGAAGAUGGGCACAGAUCUUAGCUGAGGGCCAGUCUUCCUCAAGCAAAAAGAGGAAGAUGGGCAACAGAUGUUAGCUGAGAGCCAAUCUUCCUCACAUAAAAAGAAAUCAUAUUCUUCACCUUCUCACCUGAGAAUUCUUUCAGGCACAAGCCGAGACAGAAUCCACCCCCUAACCUUCCACCAUUGGAGUCAUGAGGUCAGGAGCUGGAGGCCCCCCAAGGAAAGGCUGUAGCUAAAGGCUGCAGGUAAGAAAGGCUGACACGCAAGCUUGCAUCCCCACCCGACCUGAGCUCUGUCACCCCUGGGCCAUGGCAGAGGUUCUGAUGGCUGCCCACCUCUGGUCAGGCCCUGUUUCCUGGGCAUGUGGCAGUGAGGACGUACAGGACCCUGCACUCAGAGAGGACCCGCACCUAGGGUUUAAUGCUCUGCGCUUGUGAUCUUGAACUUCUUAAUAAUUUUAUCCCCAGGCUUGCGGUUUGGGCGUGAUGGAAUGUGUGCAGAGGGCUUGGAGGCACACGCAUGGUCACGCACAGUCCUGCUCCCACGGUUCAUGGCUACCCACUCCCAGAUCCCCUAGUGUCAUACAGGACACAGAUCUCCUUCUCAGCCCCCAGUCAGAGACCACUGACACCCUCUGCCCCCCGCAGGCCCUGACCCCAGGCAAGAGGGGAGUCAGGGUUGGGGGCACGCACCUGCAUACAGAGGCUCAGGGCAGGGCUUCCUGUCACCUGUCGGGGGCGAGGUGGGUGGGUGAUCUGUACUCCCAGGGAGGUCUGCUUGCAUCCCCUAUCUGAGGGAGUACUCCAUUGAACAGCGAAUAAAGCACACUAUGACAGGUCGAGAGAGAGACCAUGGAAAAAGGAACAAAGCUUUUUGAAUAAGAAUUUUUGCACUGCGGCCCACAAAUGAUGUAGUGGUCCCGCCUCUGGCCUAACUCCCUCCUGUGGGCGUCAUCUCACCUCGGCUGGAGCAGCUGGCCAGGCUGAGGAGCUCAGGUUCCGGUAUUUUAGAGUUUUUUGUGUUACAAAGCUGAGGGGAGGUCCCCUUGUCAUCCAGAAGCCACGUGGGGUGGUGGAAUGAGCCUGCCCACUCAGCCCGCUUGCUGGGGUCUCGUAGUUUUCGGGCUUGGUCACCACAGCCCGAGGCCCACGUCACCUACCGAGCCUGACUUCCUCACCUGUGAAAAGAGAUCAGGUAACACGCUUUUCAAGAUCUUUUCUAUCUCUUAAAAUAUCUCAUGAUUCUGAGUACACAAUAAGGCCCAUUUUCUGCUUGUGAAAACCUCAUGUUGUAGAUAAUAUAAGACCCUCCAGUUUCCUGGCAACAAAAAACUUUUAUAAUUGUUGAUGGUGAAAAACAACAGAAAGGGGUCUAUGUUUGAAAGACCAUUCUAUGAUCCAGAUUUAUCGUCUGAGAAACUUCACUGCAUCUCGGCCCCUGGGCUUGGAGGACCAUGAAGGGAGAGGUCAGCAAACGUCCUUCUGCCACGGGUCAGGGUGGAGUAAGGAAGGCCAUGUAUAAGUCAGGGAUACUUAAAAUGGCUAAAACCCUCUCCGUGACAGUGUGCCCUGAUUUUCACUCUGUUUUAAAAUUUCUUUUAUUGGGAAAUUAAUUGAAAACGUGAGGCUUAAUUUAGCAUCGUAUCCUAAAUUGGCCAGCAUCAUGUUGGCCCAUGAGGUUUGUGCCACUAGAGCCUAGACGGUUAUUAUUCUCUAAAAGACUAUGGAAAUAUGCUUAGAAAAGAUAUAAGAAAGUUCCAGAUGGGUGACUGAAGUCUCCUCUUCCAGAUUGUCCCGUAAGUCCAAAGUCACCCAGAAAAGAGAAUACCCAGCCUGCUCCAUGUCCUGGGUGCUGUAAAAAUUCCCAGCAAGGGGUUAAUCCUGCUGCAUCCAGGAAAAACCUUUUCUGGGCUGAAACUGAGCUCUUUGACCCAUCCAAACCCACGUGGGGAACGUGACCCACAUGUAAUGUCCGAGAUCUUGUUCUCUACUCAAAUCUAUGACAGACAAUUUUCCACUCAUAAGAAAGAGACUCAUAUUCAAAAUUCCCGAAAAUUACUUUUACUUUUCCCUAAAGUGGGACAUACAGUCUAAGAAACAGUAUUAUCACCUCAUUAAAUGUGUCAGUAAGUUUUAAAAUUUGGGAUAGAAAGUCAGUUAACACUUGGGGACAUGCAAUGUUUGCCUGGGAGGUGUCCCUAUCGUGGCAAAUAUUUCCUACACUUCAGGCUGUUUUUAUCUGUAUCUUUGGAAAGGAGUUUGGAUGAAAUCGAGGAGACCAAUGUUUCCCUCUGGCAUCCUUCCAAUUUGAUGAAUUAUCCUUCAUUGUGAGAGUGUUGGCGUUCUUUCCUUGUUCCACGCAGGGGCCAAUAUCCUAGAACAACUCACGUGGCCCCAGUGAGCAAAAUUGUCCUUCGGGAUAGAGCACAGCUGGGAUUUCAGAAAUCUUGUUAUUUCAGGUUGUCAGGCUGGCCCAGGAAAAGGGCCAGACAGCUGUGGGGAAAGAGUAUAAGGGAGAGAUAGUCAUCAGCAAGAUUAACAAAAGGCUUUAAAGAUUGUGUCAUAACAACAGAUGCUGAAAACGGUUACAAACACACAUACUGUUAUUCCUUCUGGCCCGAGCGAUUUCCUAAGACGGUGAAAUUAGCCACGAAGGAAUUUCCUCCUUUACUCGGAAUGGAGUUUUGGCUGAAGGUCCAAGAUGUCUUGAAAGGAAGAGAGAAGACAGAGGCUUUGAUUUCAGCCCCUAAGAGUCUUCUGGAAUUUUACAGCAGGUGCAGCAACUGGGGGCAAAUAUGUGAUGGAGAACAAGAAGCAACCCUCUUCUCUUCAAAGCUGUGGUUGGUGAGGUCCCAGGGCUUGCUUAGGUAGGAAGGAUCUAGCCAAUUCCAGGACCAAAACUUCUCCCUCUAUUGACACAUUCUGGAAAAAUGACUAAACCUUUCUGUACCUCAGUUUUCCCAAGUGCAAAAUCAGAAAAAUUAUUUUAACCCAUUUUAUAGAACGGUUGCAAGGAAAACACAACCAUGGGUAACACUCGAGAGGGACUUUGCUUGUAGCUAAUUGGCACAUAAAUGCUUCAGACUGUCAGGCCCUGGGGAAGCCUGCAGGCCAAUCCUCCUGAUUGGAAUCUAUUGUCAGGGCAUUAGUAAACACGACCUUAGUGAAACAAAAGCAUAAGGAGACCAGCACAUGCACUGUGCAUUGUGCCAGAACUUUCCAUCGUGUGCUGCUGAACUGAGAGACCGAAUACUUCUGUCCUCUCCCUCGGCCCACUAAGGAAAGUAUUUUUAUUUCAUUGCAUACAUAUUUUCCUCCUUCCCUUGGUCAUGAAUCAGAACACUUUAGAGCCAGAAGGAGUUUUAGGGCUAUUCUCGUUGUUUCCCGUUUUACACACAGCAGGUCCUGGAACUAAGCGGCCCGAGUUUUCUGACUCAGGGCAUUGUUCAAAGGAACCACCAAGCUCAACCCAGCCACAGCUGGGGCAACAGCCCUGCUCACUGUUCCCACUACAGGGCGAGCUAGUGUGUCAGAGCGUUCUUCCUCGGACCUCGUUGACAUGCGUCUUUUUGUAGAAGGCUCGCAGUGGGCCAAAUGCUGAAGGGCUGGGCUCAGGACCGGACUCUGGGUCUGUGGAGGGAAGAGGUGGGAAGUCAACCGUUGUCUACAGAGUCCUGCCAUGUGCUCGGCGAUGUGGUGGGUUAUCACAUUGUGAUCUUCACCAUAAUCUUGGGAAACAGGCGGCGUAUUCCCAUCCAUGGCCAUGGGAAAUGAGGGUUAGAAGUGUAAGCAACUUCUCCGGGGGUGAGAGAUCCAGGCUUCCAGCCCAGAUUCCGAAGCUUGCCUUCUUGCCACUCCCCCUCGGGCGUUAUCAGAGAAACUGUGUCCUGGGCAGAUGACCAAGGCAAGGACUUGGCCUCAGGGAAAAGUCUGGGAUGGAUUCCUGAAAAUGGAGGAUAGGCUUGAAGGAACAAGGCAAGAAGCCAAUUCACAGGCCUGGGGUUCAGGGAGGACAGAGCUAACUGGAUGCCAAGACCGGAGCUGUGGGCCCUGGAGCCCUGCACAGCACUUGCCCUCUGUCCUGAGCAAACACAGCCCCUGUUACUUUUGACUGAUGGUGCCUUGACUCUGGAAUCUGGCAGCCCUCCUGACUUUUAACCGAACGUUUUAUGCUGAGUCAGCUGCCUUGUGAACUCCUUUUAGCCACAACAGCUGGUCACUGAAUGGGGACAUGGAACCCCCGGAUACCUGAUGGAGAGCUCCGCGUCACGGUACACAAAGGUUACAAGCAGAACCGUCAGCCUGCUGGCUUUUGAUCCUGCCUCUGUCACCUACAGCAGUGUCAGCUUGGGCAGGUCACUGAGGCUCGGGGUGCCUCAGUUUCCUCAUCUGUAAAGUGGAGGAAAUAACGGAUGAUAACUGUACCCGCCCCGUAGGGCUGUUUGAAGAUGACAUGAGUUAGUCCACAUAAAACUGCUUCCAACAGCGCCUGGCACAUAGUAGGUGCUCAAAACUAGGUGGUUGUCUCUGAUUCCUGCACACGCCCGUCACAGCACGGGGCAGCACUCCCCUAAAGGGACCUCAUGGGGACCUUAUCCAGGCUGGGGACACGCUGUCUUCUGAGCCAGGCCACUCCGUUUUUGGACUGCUCUGACUAAGAAAACGCUUCCUUGCUUUCAGCCAAAUCCACCUCCGCGCCGCUCCCACUCAUCCUUCCCAGCUCUGCCAGCAGGCAAAUGUCAAAAAAAUAUUCUCGAAAGAGAGGACACAGAAUGUAAAUAAUCAUGAUAGAAUCGGGUUGAGGAAUGACAGUCGUCCUCGCAGCUGCCAUUGCCACAGCGAGGCACAGCCCGGGGUGAAGUCAAAGACCUUCGAGUUAAAUUCGAAAACCGGCAAAAGUUCUUAGUUUUUCUCUGCUGCCUUUAGGAAUGCAUCAAACAACUUCCUUCUCCAUUCUCGUCAGACCAUAGCAUGCUGCUGGACGGCCACGAGACUGAGGGAAAAGUCGCUGCACGUGGGCAAAGGUGAUGGUCACAAGGGCGGCAGAGCUGUGACCUCAUUCCCUCGCUACGUGCGGGGCGCCCUGUAAUCGCCGGGCGCCCAGGGAGUGUGCUGGGAGGCGGCGGCCCUGGCGGGCGGCCCUCCUGUUUACAGAGCCUCUCUGGCGUCAGGUAUAAGAUCAUGACCCAUGCAGCCCUUCCUGCCUCCACGGCGUGUACUGUGACAUAAGACGACUGCACACAUCUUUUUCUAGAAAGAUUUGACAGCCUAGCUCGCCAACGACUCUUGUUAAAAUGAUUUGUAACAGAGAUUUUGAGUGUUACAAGAUGAAGAGUUCUGGAGAUCUGUGGCACAGCAACGUGAAUAUAUUUAACCCUACUGAAUUGUACACUUAAAAACGAUGAAGAUGGGAAAUCUCCUGUUAGGUGCUUUUCACCACAAUUAAAAAAGAUAUAUAAAAAAGAAUGAAAUGUAUAGAUGAAAUAAUAUGACAAAGUUGCUUGAAAAUGAUACAAAAAGAUGCAAACGUUCAUCAAGCUGUAGAAGGAUGAUUUAUGCGCUUUUCUCCAACAUUAGACGUGAUUAAAAAGUUUACGUACUGAAAAUAAUAGCAGAGGAGGAGGAGGUAAGGGGACUAUAGUUGAACAAGAUGAUCCGUGAGUUUGCGCCCGCUGCCAUUGGAGGGGUGCUAGUCUGUAUUUGUGUGUGUUUGCAAAUUUUCAUAAUAAAAAUUAGAUUGCAUGAAACAUUUACAAUGUUAGAAAAAAUGAUUGGAACAUUUCAAGAAUAAAUCACUUGGAACUCAGGACAUGGGUGUGGACUCCUCUCAGUUGCUUCCGGCGGGCAGGGGGGAAUUCGGUGCCCAGUACGUGAUGCAAGAACUGCCACGUCGUGUUUCUAAAUCGAAGGGGAGAUGGUAAAGAGUUCAUCACAGUUCUCUGAACAUGCUUCAGCCCUUCUACAUGAACAUAGCAUCGCUGAUCCUUGUUCUACGGACCACCUGCUAUGAACUGUUUGUCCAGGACGGCUAUGACCAAAAAUACUGAGGGUUGGUGGGGAUGUGAAGAGAUUGGAAUCCACCUCCCUUGCUGCUGGGAACCUAAACUGGUGCAGUUGUUUUGGAAAACAGUCUGGCAAUUCCUCGAAGAUUAAAUAUGGUGUCGCCAUGAGACCCAACGAUUCCAUUGCUAGGUGUGUACCCAGAGAAAUGAAAGUGUAUGUCCACACAAAAACAUGUACACCAUUUCACAGAAGCAUCACUCGUAACCGGCAAAAAGUGGAAACAACACCAACGUCCAUCGACUGAAGCAUGGACAGAGGAAAUGUGGCCCAUCCGUACAAUGGAAUGUCAUUUACCAUAAACAGGAGUGAAGUACUGAUGGAUGCUACAACCCGGAUGAAUUUUGAAACAUUAUAUUAAGUGAAAGAAGCCAGACAUAAAAGACCUCGUGUUCGCUAAUUCAAUUUAUACGAAAUGUCCAGAGCAGGCAAAUUCAUAGAAACAACAAGCAGAUUAGCGGUGCCUAGGGUUGGGGUGGGAAUGGUUUGGAGGUAAAUAUGGGGUGACUGCGAAUGGGUAUGAGGUUUCUUUUUGGGAUGAUAAAAAUGUUCUAAAAUUGAUUGUGGUGAUAGUUGCACAACUCUAUGAAUAUACUAAAAUCCAUUGAAUUUAAACGGGUGGAUUAAAUGACAUGUGAAUUACACCUUAAGGAAAUUGUUUAAAUAAUCUAUUUAUGUGUAGAGAGGCACAGAAAAAACUUUGCAAAGUAUUUUUUAUUGCAUUCAUAAUAGUUUAUAACAUUGUGAAAUUUCAGUUGUACCUUAUUAUUUGUCAGUCACCAUGUAAGUGCACCCCUUCACCCCUUGUGCCCAUCCCCCAACUCCUUUCCCCUUGGUAACCACUAAACUGUUCUCUUUGUCCGUGUGUUUGUUUAACUCCCACAUAUGUGUGCAAUCAUAUGGUGUUUGUCUUUCUCUGUCUGGCUUAUGUCACUUAACAUAAUACCCUCAAGGUCCAUGCAUGUUAUUGCAAAUGGGACAAUUUUGUCAUUUUUUAUGGCUGAGUAGUAUUCCGUUGUGUAUAUAUACCACAUCUCCUUUAUCCAAUCAUCAGUCGAUGGGCACUCGGGUUGUUUCCAUGUCUUGGCUAUUGUGAAUAAUGCUGCAUAAGCCUCUUUGAAUUGUUGAUUUCAAGUUCUUUGGAUAAAUACCAGUAGUGGGAUAGCUGGGUCAUAUGGUAUUUCUCUUCCUAAUUUUUUGAGGAAUCUCCAUACUGUUUUCCAUAGUGGCUGGAGCAGUUUGCAUUCCCACCAGCAGUGUAUGAGGGUUCCCUUUUCUCCAUCCUCUCCAACAUUUGUUAUUUUUUGUCUUGGUGAUUAUAGCCAUUCUAACGGGUGUAAGGUGGUAUCUUAGUGUAGUUUGAUUUGCAUUUCCCUGAUGAUUAGUGAUGCUGAACAUCUUCUCAGGUGCCUAUUGGCCAUCUGUAUAUCUUCUUUAGAAAAAUGUCUGUUUUGCACAUUUUUUGAUCAGGUUGUUUAUUUUUUUGCUGUUCAGUUGUGUGAAUUCUUUAUAAAUUAUGGAGAUUAACCCCUUGUCGGAUAUAGGAUUUGCAAAUAUUUUCUCCUAGUUGGUGGGUUGUCUUUUCGUUUUGAUCCUAGUUUCCUUUGCCUUCCAGAAGCUCUUUAGUCUGAUGAAGUCCCACUUGUUUAUUUUUUCUUUUGUUUCCCUUGCCCAAGUAGACAUGGUAUUUGAAAAGAUCUAAGACCGAAGUCAGAGAGUGUACUGCCUGUAUUUUCUUGUAGCAGUUUUAUGGUUUCAGGUCCUACAUUCAAGUCUUUGAUCUAUUUUGAGUUUGUUUUUGUGGAUGACAAAAAAUAUUGGUCUACUUUCAUUCUUUUGCAUGUGGCUGCCCAGUUUUCCCAACACCAUUUGUUGAAGAGACUUUCCUUUCUCCAUUGUAUGUUCUUGGCUCCUUUGUCGAAGAUUAGCUGUCCGUAGAUGUGUGGUUUUAUUUCUGGGCUUUCAAUUUUGUUCCAUUGAUCUGUGUGCCUGUUUUUGUACCAGUACCAUGCUGUUUUGAUUACUAUAGCUUUGUGGUAUAUUUUGAAGUCAGGGUUUAUGAUGCCUCCAGCUUUGGUCUUGUUUCUCAGGACUCCUUGGGCUAUUCAGGGUCUUUUGUUGGCUCAUAUGAACUUUAGGAUUCUUUGUUCUAUUUCUGUGAAGAAUGUCAUUGGGAUUCUGAUUGGGAUUGCGUUGAAUGUGUAGAUUGCUUUAGGUAGCAUGGACAUUUUAACUAUGUUUAGUCUUCCAAUCCAUGUUCAUGGAAUAUGUGGAAAGUAUUUUUAAUCAGAAUGUUAAUAGUGGUUUUCUUUAACUGUGGGGUUAUCUUAAAUUUCCAUUUGUGUACCUUCCAGUAUCUUUUGAAGUAUGUAAAGAUUGUGCAUUUAUACAAUCAGAGAAACAAGACAAAUCUCUUAACUGUUCAGGACUGUUUUUAAAACCCUUAGGUCUAGGACUUUUACAAGUGGGGCCCCACUCCAUCGCAUCAGACAGAUUAAAAUGCCCUGGAGCCCCACGUUAACUGUACUUCUUUCCAUGAAAAUAUUUGAAACAACUCAUAAUUUUGCCUUUGAAACUAUUAGGCUACAAAAAACAUUUAUAAUUGGCUUUGACUUUCUCAGCAGUCAUCAUGCAAACUUGGGAAUUUGUGCAAGGAAGAAAAUAUGUAAACUACAGACAGUUUUCCAAUGUGAUAAGAUUUUUAUGAAUUUGACAUAAUGUUACCUUUCAUAGACAUUUAAACAUUGUUUAUUUUUUUCAGGGUUUUGGUUUCUGUAUUUAGUAGCCGAUACAAUUUUUGAGGCCCUCAAUACUUUGGUGGGCCUGAGACAAGCUCAGAGGCCCUGAGCCCCAGGCCUGUGGGGUGCCAACAUCCAGGGCAGGAGCCCUCCCCAUUGGGGUGAUGUCCACCUGUCUGUGCCCAGUGCCUAACACAGGGAUGGGAAAAUAAUCUGAACUCACCAAGUAUCUUUGGAUUGAUAGAUUUAUGGAGGCUUCAAAUCUUUCAAUCCUCCUUAAGAAGUGUGAUUUUAUUUAAAAGUCUUUCCUCUAUUUCAGAGGAAAGUAUUUCCUUUAUUCUCCAUAGACAAGGAGAACAUAUGUUUGCAUUCUUCCAUUAAAAACCCUACAUGUUCUUGAAAAAGUAAUCAAGAUGCCUCUUAUCAACUGUUUUAUUGAUGAAACAAUCCCGGCUCACUUAACUAGUCCCUAAAAAAACCUAGUUUUGGGGCCAGCCCCAUGGUGGAGUGGUUAAGUUCGCACGCUCUGCUUCAGCAGCCCAGGGUUUCGCUGGUUUGGACCCUGGGCGCAGACAUGGCUCCACUCAUCAGGCUAUGCUGAGGCUGCAUCCCACAUGCCACAACUAGAAGGACCCACAACUAAAAUAUACAACUAGGUACUGGGGUGAUUUGGGGAGAAAAAGCAAAAAAAAAAACCCUUAGUUUUAUGAUCAGUUAUACACCCUGUCCAGUGUCUAUGUGUCAUUGCCAACUCUUACUGGGUAUAACAUUUCAUAAAUGUUUGACUGAUACAAAACACAGGGGAGGAUUUAUUCUCCCAAAUCAUACUGCUGUUUUCAUUUUAUUUUAAAAGCCAACUGUUACUCAGCUUGUGGUCAUCCCUGAUCCCAUGCUCUUUAUCUUUCUACCUUGGAUCUCGUUAAGUUUUUCCCCAUCCCAUAUUUAAAUGAUUACUCUUUCUUCUAUAACUACUGUCUUGGAAUUACGUACUGAGUUUUAUAAUUUUUAAAUAAAUUAAAUUCCAUUUUGUUUUACAGAAUUUUAGCUACUGGAGUUUCAAUGAAUGCACAGUUUGGCCAAAUGUUGGAUGUCCAACCAUUAAACCCAAUAUUUGACUUAAGAUAUAUGUUUCCCAUAAAAUAAACUUCCAGGAUAUAAUAGAAUAUCUGAAUAUUUUUUCUCCUGAGGAACAUUAGCCCUAAGCUAACAUCUGUGCCAAUCUCCCUCUAUUUAACAUGUGGGUCACCUUCACAGCAUGGCUGACAAGUGGUGUAGGUCCAUGCCCCAGAUCCAAACCUGUGAACCUGGGCCUCUAAAGAGGAGCACACCGAACUUAACCACUAGGCCACAGGGCCGGCCCCUGACAUUUUAUUUUAAAUAUUCAAGCAUUAGAACUUCUUACAUUUGAUAGUCAUAUUUUAAAGGUUUAAUACAGUAUGGAAAAAUCUCUCAUCACUGUCAACUAUAUCGCUCCUACAGGCACAGUUACAACAUUAAAUACGUGUUCAUUUUCAAUUGAUGACAGAAGAAUAAAAUAGUUUAAUGUUUCUCACUUUUUGCUAAUACAUUCUUCAUUUAUUCAAACUUUUUAUAUUCUGUGCUAUGUCUGGAUAGAAGGUAAUUCAUAAUUAAUAUAUUAUACAUGAGUUCAGAGACUUUCUCUUCGUGAGACUUUGAUGUUCUGCUUGUAAUUCAUCCUACAAGCCAUGAAGAUUUCCCAAAUGCAACUUUUCUCAACAGAUUCGUCACCUAAAUGGAUUCAGCUAUAAAUUUAUUAUAGUCUUUAAAUAUUUUGUUUCAUGUCAUAAAUGCAAGUCACUAAGCAAUUCAACAAUUAAGAUAUAAUCGAAUCUCUCUUACGCUGCCUUACACAAUUAUUUACAUUUUUAUAAACCUUUUUUGGCACUCUGCUCUUCUUAAAGUUGUCUAGCUAAUACACUCUCACUAUUCAUACUAAGAAUCGACCUAUCUCCCUAUUUGUUUACCUUUUUGAAUGUUCUUAAUAAUUGUCUUUACACAUAAAAUUAACAUUGCUCACAAUCAAUUAGUGCAGCAUUUUUUUCUUGCAAUAAAAAUUAUGCAUGUUUUCUUCAGCUGACUGAAGGAUUUGGGGGCAAAGAGCACAUAGAAGAUAUUUUCUCCAAGCGGCAUCUAAAAUACUUACCUAUAUCGUGAGAGAAAAUCUACCGAUAUUAACACAACAUCCCAAUUAUAAUCCUGACAUGGAGCUGACUAGUGACAAUCACACAGCAGGUCGGGGACGCCGGGAAUGGUGUGGAGGUGGGCAUUUGGCUCCCCUUCCAAAGCCAAAGCGAAAAACCAGAUUUGGGCCAAAUGCUAGGGCCAAAGCUAAAUUUUGUGCAACUCUCUAUCAGUCACAGGGCAU